CUACGUGCCAGCAGCCGCGGUAAUACGGAAGCGGGCGUUAUCCGGAUUUAUUGGGUUUAAAGGGAGCGUAGGCUGGAGAUUAAGUGUGUUGUGAAAUGUAGACGCUCAACGUCUGACUUGCAGCGCAUACUGGUUUCCUUGAGUACGCACAACGUUGGCGGAAUUCGUCGUGUAGCGGUGAAAUGCUUAGAUAUGACGAAGAACUCCGAUUGCGAAGGCAGCUGACGGGAGCGCAACUGACGCUGAAGCUCGAAGGUGCGGGUAUCGAACAGGAUUAGAUACCCUGGUAGUCCGCACAGUAAACGAUGGAUGCCCGCUGUUGGUACUUGGUAUCAGCGGCUAAGCGAAAGCAUUAAGCAUCCCACCUGGGGAGUACGCCGGCAACGGUGAAACUCAAAGGAAUUGACGGGGGCCCGCACAAGCGGAGGAACAUGUGGUUUAAUUCGAUGAUACGCGAGGAACCUUACCCGGGCUUGAA
This 478-nucleotide ribosomal RNA is filed under the name uncultured bacterium. RNAcentral describes it as "bacterial SSU rRNA". It matches the Rfam family "Bacterial small subunit ribosomal RNA", at positions 501 to 985 of the family's 1533-position model. The record is from RNAcentral.